RNAcentral lists this unclassified non-coding RNA (20 nucleotides) under Chlamydomonas reinhardtii. RNAcentral describes it as "small RNA Cre_3973". Lineage: Eukaryota; Viridiplantae; Chlorophyta; Chlorophyceae; Chlamydomonadales; Chlamydomonadaceae. The record is from RNAcentral.
UUGGAGCUUACUAUGACAGC